UCCCGCGUAGCUCAGUUGGCAGAGCAUCCGACUGUUAAUCGGACGGUCGUAGGUUCAAGUCCUACCGCGGGAG
Molecule: transfer RNA, 73 nt
Filed under: Sphaerisporangium cinnabarinum
Lineage: Bacteria; Bacillati; Actinomycetota; Actinomycetes; Streptosporangiales; Streptosporangiaceae
Description: tRNA-Asn
Rfam family: tRNA
About the family: Transfer RNA (tRNA) molecules are approximately 80 nucleotides in length. Their secondary structure includes four short double-helical elements and three loops (D, anti-codon, and T loops).
Source: RNAcentral